UACAGAGGUCCCAAGCGUUGUUCGGAUUCACUGGGCGUAAAGGGUGCGUAGGUGGUCGGGUAAGUCUGAUGUGAAAGCUCGAAGCUUAACUUCGAAAUGGCAUUGGAUACUAUCCGGCUUGAGGAUCGGAGGGGGGACUGGAAUUCUCGGUGUAGCAGUGAAAUGCGUAGAUAUCGAGAGGAACACCAGUGGCGAAGGCGAGUCCCUGGACGACUCCUGACACUGAGGCACGAAAGCUAGGGGAGCAAACAGG
This 253-nucleotide ribosomal RNA is filed under the name uncultured bacterium. RNAcentral's name for it is "partial 16S ribosomal RNA". It matches the Rfam family "Bacterial small subunit ribosomal RNA", at positions 524 to 776 of the family's 1533-position model. The record is from RNAcentral.